Long non-coding RNA from Apis cerana (Asiatic honeybee), 3473 nucleotides. RefSeq lists it as uncharacterized. Lineage: Eukaryota; Metazoa; Arthropoda; Insecta; Hymenoptera; Apidae. The record is from RefSeq and is a predicted model, not a curated record.
GAAGAUUUGAUUUUCUAUGAAGAUUAAUAUUUAGAGAAAUUAAAAAUUAAGAUUUUCAACAUUUUAUUUAAAAACAACUGUCGAAGUGAAAUGUAUUAUACCGAAAACAAUUCGAAUUCGUGUUGCACUUCGCUAUCCGAAGCGAACGCAGUAAUAGAGGCCAGGUAGGCGGGUCGGUGAGCACGAAAAGUAGGGCCCCGCAGCCCUGGGGAACGUUUUUCUCUAAAUUACAGCUCUGCUCGACUCGUUCGUUCCCUGUUAAGCCUUUCCUGCGAGCAACCAAACCACACUUACCUUUUCUCGUCCGACCACUACCUGAAUUCCCGAUUUCUCUGAUGCGCAUGCUCGCGCUCGCGAUUUCUCAAAUAUGUCAAAAGACGUACAGUUGGUGCUGUUAUUGUCGAACUUCUUGUUAUAUGUGACCCAAUCCUCUUAAUUCAGCAGCAGAACUAUCAAUGGCAAGUAAAAAUAUAUUAUAAUUCAGUGGAAUUCUCUGAAUAGUAAUUUUUAAUUCAUGAUUGACUCGAAAAUGUUUGAGAUUAUAAUUUUUUAUUCAUCCUAGAAACCUAACCUAAUAAAAUUUAUUUGUUUUAUUUUCUUGAUAUUUAACUAUUAAUUUAUUAUGUUUGAUUUAUAUGUAUACAGUUUUAAAAUUUUUAUUAAGAAUGAAGUGGAAUUUGUAAAUGUAGGUUAAAUUCCAUUUAAAUGAGUGAAGGGUUCUUCAUUAGAAUAUGUAUAUGCUUCAAGCUAUUUAAUUAUGCCGUGCUAAUCAUCAAUACUUGUCAGUAGAAAUAACAAUCUCUUAAACAUGAAGUUCUUAACGGAUUGGUGACAGCUAUUCAUUAUGUAAAAGUAUGAAAAGCAAUUGAGCUAGCGAAAUCUGUGAGGUUCACGAUUUCAGUGUGGUUGGACAGGAGUUUUCAUAAGAUGUCCCGAUAUUUAUUAGACAAGAUAAGUAAACCGGAUUGCGAGCGGUUCAGAGCUGUCUUCAAAGAAUGAAAAUAGAGAAAUAAUCCAACGUUCCAAGACAAGGUCCAUUGGGUACAAAUUUUCAUCAUCCUGCCGCUAUACAGAAAUCUUACUCUCUUUUCUGAGUUUUUUUUUAUCCCGCUUUCUCAUUUUGUCACGUUGAACGCGAUACAUUGCAAUAUUAUAUUGAUUUUCUCAAAUCUAUAUACGAAUAAUUUAAUCGAUAAUAUUUGAAUCAAUAAUAUUCAUUUUCAAAAAGAGUUAGAAUAAAUCUGUAAUUAAUGAUAAAAUAAUAAUAAUAAUAAUAUUUAUUGUAAUAAUAAGUUUAAUCAAAUCAUUAUUUAUGGAAAAUAAUGUAGAAAUAAUCUAUCAUAAAUAGUUUUAAAAUAAUUAUAUUCAUAUGAAUAUAUUAAAUUUAAAAAAAAUAUUUUUAAAAAUCUUUUUUAUAAAAUAUUUACAAUUUUUUUUCUAGAAAUAUAUUCAAUUGCAAUAUGUUCAAAAAAUUUUUUAAAUACAAAAAUUUAAAUAUAUAUAUGAACUUUUAUAUUUUAUUUCAUAUAUGAAAUUCAUUUAUAACAUAUAACCAACUAUAAUAUUAUAUAAUUGUAUCACAUAUUCUACUACUUCCUUGAAUAACGUAGUUGAUUAAAUAUCAAAUUAUCUAGGGAAUUUUAUCGAACAUUCUUUGCAUAACUAAUCAAAAGAAUUCAACUGAGUUCUCUAACUAUCGAUAAUUUUAACGAAAUUUUAACGAUGUCUUUUCUAACGCAAAAGAUUAGUUCAAAGUUGGAUUAUAAAACCUGGGUCAUAAAAAACAAUUUGAAAAUUCCAGUCUAAUAGCCACGUACCGCAACUCGCGCGUCGCGAUUUCAUUAAUUUAACUCUUCUUCUCAGAUAACUUCGUACCAUUCACAGGAUCGUAAUUUCACGGAAAUGAUCAAGCUUCUUUCACGUCUCGAUUCUCUUAUUCCAUUUCGUAUAUAUGCAUAAGACAAGGACAAAGAUAUCGAAAGCUCAGAAAGACGAACGUUCCGCCAAUGGAGGCAACAGACAGGCAGAACUGAUUGGUAGUUGGUCCUGCGCCAUGGAUGAACUCACGUAGUUUCGAGUAUGCCCCGUUCGAGCCAUCAACAGAUGGAUUCUAACCUACAAUCUGCAUAAUUUCCUCGGCUGGAUUUCCUUAUCCUCCUGGCCGAUUCGCUUGCGUCCGAUGGAACUCGACUUCCAUUAACAAUUCCUUUUUUCGUUCUUCUCGAUCGCGUCGAGAUCUGGAAGUUUGUGCGAGUUUUAUUCACGUGCGAAUUGUUUAUAGCGCCCGUGUAUAGUUCGAGUUACGGCUAAUCUUGAAAUAGAGGUUAGAACAUGGUAUGAUUUCAAUUGGAAUAUUCAAUACUUUAAAUGGAAAUAAUGGCUUAUUGAAUGUAAUAAAAUUAUAUUAUUUAUAUGGUAUGAAGUUUAUUUUUGAUGAUUUUUGCAGUGUUCAUAAGUGAUAUUUGAAUAACAAAAUAUAUAUAGAUGAUUACAUAAAAAUAAUUGAAAGAAUUAUAAUAUACUUUAUAAAAUUUUACAUGAUGAUAUUAUAAAUCAGAAGUUUUUAUUAGUUAUACUAUUUCAGCUUAUUCCAUUCUCAAAGCAAUAAAAUUCAAAAUGAAAUUUCAUAAGAAACAGAUUAACUUUCCAUUCUUUUUAAACAAGUUUUCCCAGUUAAGAAGUCUCCUUGUUUGUAUCUUGACAUGCCGAGAACUGUCGAGUGUCGACAUAAGAGAGGCAAAGGAGAGGGGCGGGAUUUACAAAUAUUGAAACAGGCCGCAUUCGAGCAACUAUUAUUGACGGAAUGUAGUAGAGAGUCGAGUUGUUGUCGGUGUUCCUUUCGAGAAACCGAUGUGGUUCCGUGUGCACCUCUGGCUCGGGAAGUCGUAAUGAGCAGGAGAAUGCUCGUGGGAAACGAGAGAGAGCCGAUCGCAUAAGCGCGGGAAAGAAAGCGCACGCGCGCGGUCACAUGAUUGUGGACGCGCUCGCAAAAUUCAUGUGUUAAUGUCACGGAAGAAUUAUAUGCAUAUGCUCUGGAACUGUCUCAGCGUUAAUAGAUGGAGAUUAAAAUAAUGGAUGAAAGUUGAAUGUGGAUGCUUAAGAUUAAAUAAGUUCACUAUGAAAAUUUCUUUAAAUAUAAAGGAAUUUAAAGGUUAAAUAUUAGUAAUGCAUAUUGAAAUUAAUUAUUUGAAAAUUAUUUGAAAAAAAAUCUAAUUAUAUAUGAUGAUAUACUCCGCCAAUGACGCCAGAAACUAAUUCCAUUUUCAUGAUUAUAAAGUUAGAAUAUAUUAUUUUAUUAUUUUUAAUUCUUUUAAAAUCUUUCGAUAUGAUUGAAAUCACUUAUCAUGAUUUAUUAAUAUUAUAGAUAAUAACAAAAUAUUUGAAAUACAUUAUGAAUGCUUUUAUAUAAAUAUACUUUUCGUGUACAAAUGUAAUUUAACUUAUGAAUUAGAAUUUGAAAUUCUAAAAACAAA